Molecule: transfer RNA, 73 nt
Filed under: Stegodyphus mimosarum
Lineage: Eukaryota; Metazoa; Arthropoda; Arachnida; Araneae; Eresidae
Rfam family: tRNA
About the family: Transfer RNA (tRNA) molecules are approximately 80 nucleotides in length. Their secondary structure includes four short double-helical elements and three loops (D, anti-codon, and T loops). Further hydrogen bonds mediate the characteristic L-shaped molecular structure. tRNAs have two regions of fundamental functional importance: the anti-codon, which is responsible for specific mRNA codon recognition, and the 3' end, to which the tRNAs corresponding amino acid is attached (by aminoacyl-tRNA synthetases). tRNAs cope with the degeneracy of the genetic code in two manners: having more than one tRNA (with a specific anti-codon) for a particular amino acid; and 'wobble' base-pairing, i.e. permitting non-standard base-pairing at the 3rd anti-codon position.
Source: Rfam by way of RNAcentral
GCCUUUGUGGUGCAGUGGUCAGCAAGUUCGACGCGUAACCGAGAGGUCCGUGGUUCGAUUCCCGGCGAAGGCA